GCUCAGUUGGUAGAGUACAAAGCUCUUAACCUUAUGGACAUGGGUUCGAGCCCCAU
RNAcentral lists this transfer RNA (56 nucleotides) under Triticum aestivum (bread wheat). It matches the Rfam family "tRNA", at positions 10 to 63 of the family's 71-position model. Rfam says of the family: Transfer RNA (tRNA) molecules are approximately 80 nucleotides in length. Their secondary structure includes four short double-helical elements and three loops (D, anti-codon, and T loops). The record is from Rfam by way of RNAcentral. Lineage: Eukaryota; Viridiplantae; Streptophyta; Magnoliopsida; Poales; Poaceae. RNAcentral also lists the same sequence under 1 other name.